GUAUCGGAGGUAAGUGCUCCCCCACACUGGGGGUGGUGAUUGGGGGGACCGCCAAUAUGUAUGUUUUCUGCACCCCCCAACCUCAAAACAUUCUGGCGCUCCUGGUGCCGCACAAGGUGCUACAUCCUGGACAAUUUUUCCCAUCUUAUCUGAAGACACCAAACAAGCAGCAGUAGAGAACCUAAUCUAAACAUCAAAAGUAUAUAGUGGUGACACAAGCAUGAGAACUGGCAAGAUUAGAGCUGGCACUUUUUGUGCAGGCCCAUUGUGGGACUACACCAAGGGCCUGAUUCAUGUUUUGGCGUAACUACCAGGGCCGGCCCAAGCCUAAAUUUUUUGGUAAGUUAAUAUAGAUUUUGGCGCCCCCAAACUCCCCCCCACCCACCCCAUGGAUGAUGGAAAAUAUUAUACACCCAAAAGCUUAAAGCGCAUUAAGUGAAAUAUGGGUGAAAUCAACUGUCUACCAUAAAGUUAAAACUUCGCAUAUUCAAUAAUCUGAUCUCAGCCCGCUCAGGCAUGCAUGUCACUUGCCGAAAACAAAGAUAAAUGCAAGACCCAAAAACAAACAUCUGAAGACAGCUGCAAAGCAGAACAAAGGAGAAAACACAGCAUUUGGUGAUUCUCAGCAAAGUAUUACAAAUGAACAUAGGGGACUUUGCAUAAAACGGCAGCAAUUUCUAAACAUUUUAUACAUAAUUGUUGAGCAAAUCCUUUUUUUUUU
Long non-coding RNA from Pseudophryne corroboree (corroboree frog), 721 nucleotides. RefSeq lists it as uncharacterized. The record is from RefSeq and is a predicted model, not a curated record. Lineage: Eukaryota; Metazoa; Chordata; Amphibia; Anura; Myobatrachidae. The transcript is spliced from 3 exons.